RNAcentral lists this transfer RNA (73 nucleotides) under Camelus bactrianus (Bactrian camel). It matches the Rfam family "tRNA". Rfam says of the family: Transfer RNA (tRNA) molecules are approximately 80 nucleotides in length. Their secondary structure includes four short double-helical elements and three loops (D, anti-codon, and T loops). The record is from Rfam by way of RNAcentral. Lineage: Eukaryota; Metazoa; Chordata; Mammalia; Artiodactyla; Camelidae. RNAcentral also lists the same sequence under 1 other name.
GAGGAUAUAGCUCAAGUGGUAGAGCGCAUGCUUAGCAUGCACAAGGUCCUGGGUUCAAUCCCUGGUAUCUCCU